CUAUGACACGUAGGUAGGUGGUCAGGCUUUAUUAUGGCCGUCAAAACACCUACUUGCUGAUAUCUGUUGUUACUUUCAACUAAGAUGUCCCAAUAUCUCCUCGUAUUAUUUCUUACUCCGACUGAGUUACCCGCUUUAACCGGAUCUUGCAAGGAUUUUCAGAAUCUGGAAUAGCUUGCCGAGAAUCUGCCGCUGGUUUAACUCUAGAAUG
Molecule: non-coding RNA, 211 nt
Organism: Pelobates cultripes (western spadefoot toad)
Lineage: Eukaryota; Metazoa; Chordata; Amphibia; Anura; Pelobatidae
Source: the annotation of a GenBank genome assembly